Molecule: ribosomal RNA, 310 nt
Filed under: uncultured eukaryote
Lineage: Eukaryota
Description: partial 18S ribosomal RNA
Rfam family: Eukaryotic small subunit ribosomal RNA
Source: RNAcentral
CCCUUAGAUGUCCUGGGCUGCACGCGCGCUACAAUGGUACACACAAUGAGGGAUCUACUAACCCGAGAGGGUUGGGUAUCUUGUAACGUGUAUCGUGAUGGGGAUAGACCAUUGCAAUUGUUGGUCUUGAACGAGGAAUGCCUAGUAAGCGCGAGUCAUCAACUCGCGCUGAUUACGUCCCUGCCCUUUGUACACACCGCCCGUCGCUCCUGCCAAUGGGUGGAGUGGUGAGAGAAUCGUACUAGCCCUGAAGGUUGAGCUAGGAAUUCAUCUCGAGCCGUUUCAUCUAAAGGAAGGAGAAGUCGUAACA